Molecule: ribosomal RNA, 252 nt
Filed under: uncultured bacterium
Lineage: Bacteria
Description: partial 16S ribosomal RNA
Rfam family: Bacterial small subunit ribosomal RNA
Source: RNAcentral
UACGUAGGUGGCAAGCGUUUCCGGAAUUAUUGGGCGUAAAGCGCGCGCAGGCGGCCUCCUAAGUCCGAUGUGAAAGCCCACGGCUCAACCGUGGAGGAUCAUUGGAAACUGGGGGACUUGAGUGCAGGAGAGAAGAGUGGAAUUCCACGUGUAGCGGUGAAAUGCGUAGAGAUGUGGAGGAACACCUGUGGCGAAGGCGGCUUUCUGGGCCUUACCUGACGCUGAGACGCGAAAGCGUGGGGAGCGAACCGG